GACGAACGCUGGCGGCGUGCUUAACACAUGCAAGUCGAACGGAAAGGCCCUGCUUUUGUGGGGUGCUCGAGUGGCGAACGGGUGAGUAACACGCGAGUAACCUGCCCUUGACUUUGGGAUAACUUCAGGAAACUGGGGCUAAUACCGGAUAGGAGCUCCUGCUGCAUGGUGGGGGUUGGAAAGUUUCGGCGGUGGGGGAUGGACUCGCGGCUUAUCAGCUUGUUGGUGGGGUAGUGGCUUACCAAGGCUUUGACGGGUAGCCGGCCUGAGAGGGUGACCGGCCACAUUGGGACUGAGAUACGGCCCAGACUCCUACGGGAGGCAGCAGUGGGGAAUAUUGCACAGUGGGCGGAAGCCUGAUGCAGCAACGCCGCGUGCGGGAUGACGGCCUUCGGGUUGUAAACCGCUUUCGCCUGUGACGAAGCGUGAGUGACGGUAAUGGGUAAAGAAGCACCGGCUAACUACGUG
RNAcentral lists this ribosomal RNA (468 nucleotides) under uncultured bacterium. Its description in RNAcentral is "partial 16S ribosomal RNA". It matches the Rfam family "Bacterial small subunit ribosomal RNA", at positions 28 to 507 of the family's 1533-position model. The record is from RNAcentral.